This 1089-nucleotide ribosomal RNA is filed under the name Bacillus sp. (in: firmicutes). RNAcentral's name for it is "bacterial SSU rRNA". It matches the Rfam family "Bacterial small subunit ribosomal RNA", at positions 95 to 1171 of the family's 1533-position model. The record is from RNAcentral. Lineage: Bacteria; Bacillati; Bacillota; Bacilli; Caryophanales; Bacillaceae.
GCGGCGGACGGGUGAGUAACACGUGGGCAACCUGCCCCUUAGACUGGGAUAACUCCGGGAAACCGGAGCUAAUACCGRAUAAUCCCUUUCUCCACCUGGAGAGAGGGUGAAAGAUGGCUUCGGCUAUCACUAAGGGAUGGGCCCGCGGCGCAWUAKCUAGUUGGUAAGGUAACGGCUUACCARGGCAACGAUGCGUASCCSACCUGAGAGGGUGAUCGGCCACACUGGGACUGAGACACGGCCCASACUCCUACGGGAGGCAGCAGUAGGGAAUCUUCCGCARUGGACGAAAGUCUGACGGAGCAACGCCGCGUGAGUGAGGAAGGCCUUCGGGUCGUAAAGCUCUGUUGUGAGGGAARAAGCGGUACCGUUCGAAUAGGGCGGUSCCUUGACGGUACCUCACCAGAAAGCCACGGCUAACUACGUGCCAGCAGCCGCGGUAAUACGUAGGUGGCAAGCGUUGUCCGGAAUUAUUGGGCGUAAAGCGCGCGCAGGCGGCUUCUUAAGUCUGAUGUGAAAUCUCGGGGCUCAACCCCGAGCGGCCAUUGGAAACUGGGGAGCUUGAGUGCAGAAGAGGAGAGUGGAAUUCCACGUGUAGCGGUGAAAUGCGUAGAGAUGUGGAGGAACACCAGUGGCGAAGGCGACUCUCUGGUCUGUAACUGACGCUGAGGCGCGAAAGCGUGGGGAGCAAACAGGAUUAGAUACCCUGGUAGUCCACGCCGUAGACGAUGAGUGCUAGGUGUUAGGGGUUUCGAUGCCCGUAGUGCCGAAGUUAACACAUUAAGCACUCCGCCUGGAGAGUACGGCCGCAAGGCUGAAACUCAGAGGAAUUGACGGGGACCCGCACAAGCAGUGGAGCAUGUGGUUUAAUUCGAAGCAACGCGAAGAACCUUACCAGGUCUUGACAUCCUUUGACCACCCAAGAGAUUGGGCUUCCCCUUCGGGGGCAAAGUGACAGGUGGUGCAUGGUUGUCRUCACCUCGUGUCGUGAGAUGUUGGGUUAAGUCCCGCAACGAGCGCAACCCUUGAUCUUAGUUGCCAGCAUUGAGUUGGGCACUCUAAGGUGACUGCCGGUGACAACCGAAGAAA